GAUGAACGCUGGCGGCGUGCCUAAUACAUGCAAGUCGAACGAACAGACGAGGAGCUUGCUCCUCUGACGUUAGCGGCGGACGGGUGAGUAACACGUGGAUAACCUACCUAUAAGACUGGUAUAACUUCGGGAAACCGGAGCUAAUACCGGAUAAUAUAUUGAACCGCAUGGUUCAAUAGUGAAAGACGGUUUUGCUGUCACUUAUAGAUGGAUCCGCGCCGCAUUAGCUGGUUGGUAGGGUAACGGCUUACCAAGGCAACGAUGCGUAGCCGAGCUGAGAGGGUGAUCGCGCACAGUGGAAGUGAGAGGCGGUCCAGACUCCUACGGGAGGCAGCAGCAGCGAAUGUUGCGAAAUGGGCGAAAGCCUGAAGGAGGAACGGAGGGCGGGUGAUGAAGGUCUGCGGAUGGGAAAACUCUGUUCUUAGUGAAGAACAAAUGUGUAAGUAACUAUGCGCGUCUUGAGGGAACCGAAUCAGAAAGCCACGGUAAACUACGU
RNAcentral lists this ribosomal RNA (496 nucleotides) under uncultured bacterium. RNAcentral describes it as "partial 16S ribosomal RNA". It matches the Rfam family "Bacterial small subunit ribosomal RNA", at positions 28 to 506 of the family's 1533-position model. The record is from RNAcentral.